GCCGUUCUCAGUUCGGAUCGGAGUCUGCAACCCGACUCCGUGAAGCUGGAUUCGCUAGUAAUCGCGCAUCAGCCAUGGCGCGGUGAAUACGUUCCCGGGCCUUGUACACACCGCCCGUCAAGCCAUGGGAGCCGGGGGUGCUUGAAGUGCGUAGCCGCAAGGCGCGCCCUAGAGCAAAACCGGUGACUGGGGCUAAGUCGUAACAAGGUAGC
RNAcentral lists this ribosomal RNA (212 nucleotides) under uncultured bacterium. RNAcentral's name for it is "partial 16S ribosomal RNA". It matches the Rfam family "Bacterial small subunit ribosomal RNA", at positions 1281 to 1500 of the family's 1533-position model. The record is from RNAcentral.